This 505-nucleotide long non-coding RNA is filed under the name Homo sapiens (human). RNAcentral describes it as "HSALNT0372147". Lineage: Eukaryota; Metazoa; Chordata; Mammalia; Primates; Hominidae. The record is from RNAcentral.
UAUAGAAAUAAUGCUAAUGACUGGUUUGCUGUUAAUAAAUAUGUGGGUAAAUCUCUGUUCGGGGCUCUCAGCUCUGAAGGCUGUGAGACCCCUGAUUUCCCACUUCACACCUCUGUAUUUCUGUGUGUAUGUCCUUAAUUCCUCUAGCUCCAUUGGGUUAGAGUCUCCCCGAGCGAGCUGGUCUCGGCAAGUGGCGUCCAUUCGUGGAGGCUCGAAUCCAGGUCAAAGGGUUGCUGGAGCGACGGUUGGAAUGGAAAACUAGCUGGAAGACACCCAAGUACUCUUAAAGCAAUCCCCGUGUUCUGGAGGCUGGGAAGUCCAAGGUCAAGAUGCUGACAAAUGAUGAGAGCUUUCUUGCUGCAUCCUCACAUGGAAGAAGGUGGAAGGGCAAGAGAGAAGAAACUAAUGCUAGGAAAUGCCUCUUUUAAAAGGGACUUAGUCCCAUUAACAAAGAAGCAGGUCUUAUGGCCUAAUCAUCUCAUAAAAGCACCACCUCUUAAUACUA